RNAcentral lists this ribosomal RNA (430 nucleotides) under uncultured bacterium. RNAcentral's name for it is "bacterial SSU rRNA". It matches the Rfam family "Bacterial small subunit ribosomal RNA", at positions 30 to 461 of the family's 1533-position model. The record is from RNAcentral.
AUUGAACGCUGGCGGCAUGCCUUACACAUGCAAGUCGAACGGCAGCACGGGAGCAAUCCUGGUGGCGAGUGGCGAACGGGUGAGUAAUAUAUCGGAACGUGCCCAGUAGUGGGGGAUAGCCCGGCGAAAGCCGGAUUAAUACCGCAUACGACCUGAGGGUGAAAGCGGGGGAUCGCAAGACCUCGCGCUAUUGGAGCGGCCGAUAUCAGAUUAGCUAGUUGGUGGGGUAAAGGCCUACCAAGGCUACGAUCUGUAGUUGGUCUGAGAGGACGACCAGCCACACUGGGACUGAGACACGGCCCAGACUCCUACGGGAGGCAGCAGUGGGGAAUUUUGGACAAUGGGCGCAAGCCUGAUCCAGCAAUGCCGCGUGCAGGAAGAAGGCCUCGGUUGUAACUAGCUUUGUUCUAGGGAAGAAAGUACUUCUGGG